GGACGGGUGAGUAACGCGUGAGUAACCUACCCCAGAGAGGGGGAUAACCCUCGAAAGGGGUGCUAAACCCCCAUAUACUUACCGAGCGUAAUAGCUCGGUAAGGAAAGAGUAUAAGGAGGCAACUCCUUAUGCUGCUCUGGGAUGGCCUGCGGCCUAUCAGCUAGUUGGUGGGGUAACGGCCCACCAAGGCUAAGCGGGUAGCCGGCCUGAGAGGGUGGUCGGCCACACUGGGACUGAGACACGCCCAGACUCCUACGGGAGGCAGCAGCCGGGAAUCUUCCGCAAUGGGGGAACCCUGACGGAGCGACGCCGCGUGAGGGAAGAAGCCCUUCGGGGUGUAACCUCUUUUCUCGGGGAAGAAAGCUGACGGUACCCGAGGAAAAAGCCCCGCUAACUACGUGCCAGCAGCCGCGGUAAGACGUAGGGGGCGAGCGUUGUCGGAUUUACUGGGCGUAAAGGGCGUGUAGGCGGCUUAGCAAGUCAGAUGUGAAGCCCUGAGCUCAACUCAGGGAGGUCAUCUGAUACUGCUAAGCUAGAGGCAGGAGAGGAGGGCGGAACUUCCGGUGUAGCGGUGAAAUGCGUAGAUUCGGAAGGAACGCCGGUGGCGAAGGCGGCUCUCUGGACUGUCCCUGACGUGAGGCGCGAAAGCUAGGGGAGCGAAAGGGAUUAGAUACCCCUGUAGUC
This 685-nucleotide ribosomal RNA is filed under the name uncultured Dictyoglomota bacterium. RNAcentral describes it as "bacterial SSU rRNA". It matches the Rfam family "Bacterial small subunit ribosomal RNA", at positions 100 to 795 of the family's 1533-position model. Lineage: Bacteria; Pseudomonadati; Dictyoglomota. The record is from RNAcentral.